AUACGGAGGGGGUUAGCGUUGUUCGGAAUUACUGGGCGUAAAGCGCACGUAGGCGGACUGGAAAGUUGGGGGUGAAAUCCCGGGGCUCACCCCCGGAACUGCCUCCAAAACUUCCAAUCUAGAGAUCGAGAGAGGUGAGUGGAAUUCCAAGUGUAGAGGUGAAAUUCGUAGAUAUUUGGAGGAACACCAGUGGCGAAGGCGGCUCACUGGCUCGAUACUGACGCUGAGGUGCGAAAGCGUGGGGAGCAAACAGGAUUAGAAACCCGAGUAGUCC
This 274-nucleotide ribosomal RNA is filed under the name uncultured bacterium. RNAcentral describes it as "partial 16S ribosomal RNA". It matches the Rfam family "Bacterial small subunit ribosomal RNA", at positions 523 to 796 of the family's 1533-position model. The record is from RNAcentral.